UACGUAAGGAGCGAGCGUUGUCCGGAAUCAUUGGGCGUAAAGGGAACGCAGGCGGUUUUUUAAGUUAGAUGUGAAAGCCCACGGCUUAACCGUGGAAUGGCAUUUAAAACUGGGAAACUUGAGUACAGGAGGGGAAGGUGGAAUUCCAAGUGUAGCGGUGAAAUGCGUAGAUAUUUGGAGGAAUACCGGUGGCGAAGGCGACUUUCUGGGCAUUUACUGACGCUGAGGUACGAAAGCGUGGGGAGCAAACAGG
RNAcentral lists this ribosomal RNA (253 nucleotides) under uncultured bacterium. RNAcentral describes it as "partial 16S ribosomal RNA". It matches the Rfam family "Bacterial small subunit ribosomal RNA", at positions 524 to 776 of the family's 1533-position model. The record is from RNAcentral.